Molecule: long non-coding RNA, 701 nt
Organism: Stylophora pistillata
Lineage: Eukaryota; Metazoa; Cnidaria; Anthozoa; Scleractinia; Pocilloporidae
Source: RefSeq, a predicted model, not a curated record
CUUCUUGUCAUUUUGACAGGUCAAUGGAAUAAGAAUAAUUUUAUCUUGAUCGUGUCUGGUUGAACGUGAGUCAGGGAGAUAAUCAGAAUUGUUUUUAAUCUCAUACCGUACACCUUCAGCAGGAGACGAUACCAGAUGCGAAUUGUAAAUCCACACACAGAUAUAAUCUUUCCAAUUAACUGCAUACGAUUUAUUUCACCACUCUUGCUCUGGCAAAGUUGCGUACUUCAUUCGUCCAGUUGCCGGUAGAAAAAAUGAAAUGCCAAAUAGUUCUUUGCUAUUUCAUCUUGGUUUUAAUCUCUACGAUUUAUACAGUCAACAGCUCUUCAAUAACACAAGAUUUCAACGAAGGGGAAAGUUGGCUAUCAAAACGUGGCGGCAGAGUAUGCCGAGAUCUUCUUCCCAGAAGAUGUAAGAAGAAUCGAUUUACGUGUCUUCGCAAAAGUAGUGCAUACGCUCGUUUGUUUCGAAUGAAAUGCCGUAAAACUUGCGGAUUAUGUUCUUAAGAAACUUCCCAAGACUGCAAGAUUUUGAGGGAAGAAAGGGCGACCUGAAUGCUACAUGUUUCUAGCAUAUAACCUCAUUGAAGAAUUUUUGUGUAAAAAUUCUCACCUACUAUACUCACAGUUUCCAAAUAAAUGUGUCAGGUACCGUCACGGAUUACACCACAUGAAAUUAAUUAAAAUGCAUAUUAAACCAAA